UCUCUCUCCUUCAGGCUAGCAACAUCAGCAUGAGGUCACAAUAACAACUCUCUCUCCAUCAGGCAUCAUCAUGAGGGCACAAUGGCUGGUCUCUCUCCUGCAGGCAAGCAGCAUCAGUGUGAAGUCACAAUGGACAGUUCUUCUCUCUCCAUCAGGCAGUGAGCAGCAGGGACCUUUCUGAAACAGGCAUCUACAGAGUAUGGGUAGCAUCUCUUGCUCAUGGAGCCAAGAAGAACCCUGGUACUUGGGUACAGAUUCAGUGGGCAUGCACAGGAGCACAUGGUCACAGUGGCCACCGGGAUCUCUCAUUGAAAUGGGCGGUGUUUGGGGGCAGAGAAACAGCAAGCGAGGAGGUAAGGGUUGGCAGGAAGACAUUCCAGCUUUUGUAGGGUUCCUACAAAUGAGUGCCUGAGGGUGGCCUGAUACCAAAAAGAUAGAGAUAAGCAAGGUGGGCACAGAAAUGUUAGCAGCAGACCAGAUAUUGGUACAAUUUGAGAGAAAAAAACAGGCAGAGAUUUAGCAGGCAGAUGCAUAGGAGCCCCUAUCUACUGAUACAGCAGUGCUUUGAGUUUCAAUGUGUGCCCCCACUGAAGUGGGGUGCAGAUUAGGAGAGAGAAAAACUAGGUGGUAGCAGGCAGCCUUUUGGCUUGGCAUAGGAGUAUUUCAACACGUGAAAUGUGCUAGAUUUUUGGGGGGGGGGUCGGGGGAGAGAAGGAGUGAGAGAACAUGGUAGUUGUUGGGCACAGAAACUAUAAUACAGUAUACUUCAACACCUGAUUUUAUCAGUAUUUUUAAUGUAUAUUUCAUAUUGUAGGUAAACUCUGAUGAACCCUGCAAACAAAUCCUGUUAAAUACAAUAGUAAAUAAUAUAGUAUAGAGGAAGCCAAUAUUCAGGCAGGAGGCAUUGGGAGCAGUGAGUGGGGAGCAUUGUGUGGGCAGGAGCAGCAAUGCUUGCCCUAGACUUGGCAGUAUGCAGCUCACCCCAUGCCAAAUGUCUAAGAACUCCAGCAAAUGAAGGUUAACCUUCAGAAUGACCAGCUGCUCCCAAGUGUCAUCCAUGAAGGGUGUGUGGACUCACAAACACUGCCUGCUACAGAGAACACUAGUUUACUCAGCAUCCUGGCUGGUGGGCAGGACAGGAGUUCCAUCCUGGCAAGGCAAAGCUCCAUCUAACCCUUCUGGCUGAUGGGAAGAACAUAAUGUGAUCUGCAAGGGGUUCACUGAAUCAGCACCUGACAGUGCUCUAUAUACUAUCUGUUUCCCAGGGGACACAGUUGGCUUCACAUACUGUCCCUGCCCCAAUGUACUGCACCCAUGUUACUUCCACUGAAGUUGGAGGUAGUCAUGUUAGGUAUACUGUUCAGCUGGCUACUGCUAUGGCUAUUUCCCUUGUUUACAGAUCACAUCAAAAAGGCUUUGUGGACGUUCUGAGUAAUACUUCCUCGCCUAUUUUAAGCCGGAGCUUGAGGUUUCUAAACUUGCAGGUGCUUUUUGCAUUCAAGAGAUUUUUCAUUUGUUCUGUGUUUACUGGUCUUGUGCCCAUUGCCAGAUAUGAAAAGAAAACACAGAAGAUGUUUGUUGAAUCAGCAAGUGGUGGCUUUAGAAUGCCAUUUGUGCAGCUGAGCCCUUUGGCAGCCUGCUCCAUUUCUUCUCUGUGUAUACAUACAGAAGAAGGAUCUCUGAAAGUGGAGGGUUAUGAACAAAGGCAGAAAAGGGAUGCAGAGAAAUGGUGAGAAACUAGCUUCUCAUACACGAUCUACCUUUAAAACACAUUCAGAGCACAUUACACUCCUCAAAGAAUUCUGGGCACUGUGGUUCAUUAAGGAGUGCUGGGUGGGAAUUGUAAUCUGUGAGGAGUUAACUACAGCACCCAGGAUUUUAUGAGGGAAAGAAUGAGCUUUGAAUGUGCUUUAAAUGUAUAGUGUGUACUGUUUGGGGGGGGCAACUUUCAGUUUGGAGCCAAUAAUUUGUUUCUAUAGCACUCUUCAUCAGCCUGGUGCUUUCCAGAUGCAUUGAACUGCAACUAUGCUGGCUUGUGCUGAUGGGAGUUGUAGUCUAAGGCUGCUUCCAGGCUGUUACUAUUUUAUAGGUGGGAUUCAGUAUCACACCAGCAAAUUCAAGUAGAUUGGGAAGCCUUGCUCAACUAGCUUCCCCACUGCCACCACCAAAAUCAUACUUUCUGUGAAAUGAAGAGUAGCAAGAGAGCACACUGGGAAAUGUGGAAUCCCAAUUGCUCCAUUUGGUAUUGUAUAACAUCCCUGCAAACAAAGUACAAUGAAUGUUUGACAUACAGCUGAGGUUGUACAAUCUACCUGAAAAUGUCAUGUAAACGAAUCAGGAUGAAUGGUCAUCCAGAAGUGACCCAAGGCAUCCGGAUGGUACCAGGUUGGCAAAGACCACUCUGUAGCCUCACUAACUCUUCAAAGAAAAAGAAAUGAUUUUAUAACAUAGACUCAUGACACAGAAAGCAGAAUAAAUGGAUCUGCUUUAUCCCAACAGUUAUAAUUCCAAAAAUUGACAGACAAACCCACUUGUCCCACAUUGCUGACCAUCUGAUGCCCUUUUGGUACAUAUGCAAGAAAGGGUUUCUAACACACAUAUGUUCUGUCUCAGAUUCAGUUCCAGUUCCUGCUUUUUUGUAGGGAUGCACUUGAGCAAGAUGCUCUCAGUUGACCCCAUAGCCUCAUCCUCAUCACGGUUGCUGCUGCCUUUCUGCUGCCUCUCUGUGGGUCAAGUUCACAUCACCCCCCAGAGGAAGAGAUCAAGUGGUGAGGAGGUCCCUGCUCCUCUUUCUGCUUGGUUAGUUGACAAGGACGGGUGAGUGUGUAGCAGCCACAACAAGGAAGACAAGCAUCAAGGGCAGAAGCUUCCAGGAAUUGGCAACAUACCCUGCAAUGGAGACGUUGGAGGUGCACAACAUUACUGACUCUUAACACACAACUCUGCCCAGAUCCCAUUGCACCACCAUUCCUUUUUAGGAGAUUCCUUUUUCUUCCAGUUGGAAGCAACAAACAUUAGAGCAAUUAAAGGAGAAAGAGAGAGGGAGAGAAUAAUCAGUUCCUUCCCAUCAGUUCUAUUUUAGUUUCUGAUUCCCCAUGACCUAUUUUAACCCAAAGUACAAUUCUAUUUAAUGCUUUUCUAAGGUCCAAUCUAGAUGUGAGAUUUGUCACGUAGUUUGCCCUUCUGUACUGGUUUCCAAAAAACAUACUGUCCAUCAGUAUGCAGAUGAUACCCAGCUCUACCUCUCCUUCAAAUCGGAACAAGUGAAGGCGGUGAAGGUCCUGUGUGAGUGUCUGGAGGUGGCUGGAGGAUGGAUGGCUGCUAACAGAUUGAGGUUGAAUCCUGUCAAGACAGAAGUACUGUUUUGGGGGGACAGGGGGCGGGCAGGUGUGGGGGACUCCCUGGUCCUGAAUGGGGUAACUGUGCCCCUGAAGGACCAGGUGUGCAGCUUGGGAGUCAUUUUGGACUCACAGCUGUCCAUGGAGGUGUGGCGUUUACCUGUUCUUUUGAAAAUGUACAGGGGGAGAGAAAGAGUUAAUAGGUAGACCAAUAGAAAAGCCAGAGGCGGAGCGUACCUGUUUAUAAAAGGGCUUAGCCCAAGGUUUGUUUAGUUAGUUAGUUAGUUAGUUAGUUAGUUAGUUGGUUGGUUGGAAAGAAGCAGUUGGGAAAAGCUGUUGGGAAAGCAGUUGGCAGACAGAUGGAAAUAGAGAGACAGUGCAGUUUGCUCUUGUGUGAGGGGAGGUUGAAGAGUUAGAGACAGAAUAAAAUAAGACUAAGAGGGUAAAGGGU
Non-coding RNA from Podarcis lilfordi (Lilford's wall lizard), 3789 nucleotides. NCBI's taxonomy places the organism in Eukaryota, Metazoa, Chordata, Lepidosauria, Squamata, Lacertidae. The record is from the annotation of a GenBank genome assembly.